RNAcentral lists this transfer RNA (72 nucleotides) under Marmota monax (woodchuck). RNAcentral's name for it is "tRNA.Undet". It matches the Rfam family "tRNA". From Rfam's summary of the family: Transfer RNA (tRNA) molecules are approximately 80 nucleotides in length. Their secondary structure includes four short double-helical elements and three loops (D, anti-codon, and T loops). Lineage: Eukaryota; Metazoa; Chordata; Mammalia; Rodentia; Sciuridae. The record is from RNAcentral.
UGAGGAUAUGGCUCAGUUGGUAGAGUGCUUGCCUUCAUGCAAAAGCCCUGGGUUCAAUUCCCAGAACCACAA